This 623-nucleotide ribosomal RNA is filed under the name uncultured archaeon. RNAcentral's name for it is "bacterial SSU rRNA". It matches the Rfam family "Archaeal small subunit ribosomal RNA", at positions 146 to 774 of the family's 1478-position model. The record is from RNAcentral.
AUAAUACUCCAUAGAUUAGAGACACUGGAAUGUUCUUUAGUCGAAAGUUCUGGCGCCUUAGGAUGGAUCUGCGGUCGAUUAGGUUGUUGUUGGGGUAACGGCCCAACAAGCCUGUAAUCGAUACGGGUUGUGGGAGCAAGAGCCCGGAGAUGGAAUCUGAGACACGAUUCCAGGCCCUACGGGGCGCAGCAGGCGCGAAAACUUUACAAUGCAGGAAACUGUGAUAAGGGAACUCCGAGUGCCCGUAUACGCGGGCUGUCCAGGUGUUUAAAAAUCAUCUGAAGAAAGGGCCGGGCAAGACCGGUGCCAGCCGCCGCGGUAAUACCGGCGGCUCGAGUGGUGGCCACUAUUAUUGGGCUUAAAGCGUCCGUAGCUGGACCGAUAAGUCUCUUGGGAAAUCCGCCGGCUCAACCGGCGGGCGUCUAAGGGAUACUGCUAGUCUAGGGACCGGGAGAGGUGAGAGGUACUCCGGGGGUAGGAGUGAAAUCCUGUAAUCCCCGGGGGACCACCGAUGGCGAAGGCAUCUCACCAGAACGGCUCCGACAGUGAGGGACGAAAGCUGGGGGAGCGAACCGGAUUAGAUACCCGGGUAGUCCCAGCCGUAAACUAUGCGCGUUAGGUGU